GAGGAGGUGGUAGUGGAAUAUGGAAGAUCAUUUACAGUGGCAUAUAUAAAUUCUCUGUUUGGUUCCUAAUAGGAUGACAGUUACUUUCUGUUUUGAUUAUGAAUUGUAUAAUGCACUUGGUUGGCCUUGCUGGUGCCUGCAUCCUUAGAUAGUAUGGAUUCAGUUUUAUCUGUUGCCAAGUCUUGCCUUUAGAGACAGUUUAACAGUACUGGAAACGCAUAAUUGAUAUCCAGUUAUUGCCUGAUAUAUAGCUUUUGAUAGCUUCUGAUCUUGAUUUCUUGUCCUCUCUUUCCCACUCCUCCCCACCAUUUUUCUCUAUUUCUUCUUCUAAGAAAAUCAUUGAAAUACUUGAAAUUUUGAUAAGCUGUGUUAGUAAACUUGUAAUUGUCAAAUUCUAGAUGAUUAAAAGCAAUUUACUCCACAAUCUAACUCCAGUUAUUUUAUUUUCCAUUACAAUGAAAGAUUUCUAAAGAAAUUUUCACAGAACUUGGUGUACGCCUUAAGUUUCCCACUGUCUACAUGAGUUUUCUGAUUUUAGUGAAGCUUAGAGUUAGUUAUUUAACCUAAUUCAUUUCAUACACCAUCAUCAGAAUAUGUCUGUCUUCAGAAUUCAGACAAUCUUUGAUAAUAACUUCAAAAGUUUAAUUGAAACUAUUAGUUUCGCCACACAGCCAAGUUGCUUGCCGGCCUUUUACUUGAUCCUUAGAUUGCCUUCUAUAACUUGGAUAGUAUAAUAUCUUUCUUUGAAUGUUUUUGGUAACCUCAAAUUUUUAAAAGACAAAUUUUCCUUCAUGGCUAUUGAGUUUGGCAAAGAACCGGUCAUUUUAACCACCUUCUCCAUCUAACCCAACAAAAAAAAAAAAAAUCUCAUUUCCAUUGUUGCUGCAGCUUUCUUGGGACAACUCAA
This 907-nucleotide unclassified non-coding RNA is filed under the name Hevea brasiliensis (rubber tree). The record is from RNAcentral. Lineage: Eukaryota; Viridiplantae; Streptophyta; Magnoliopsida; Malpighiales; Euphorbiaceae.